This 737-nucleotide long non-coding RNA is filed under the name Buteo japonicus. RNAcentral describes it as "lncRNA (ENSBJAG00000004907.1)". The record is from RNAcentral. Lineage: Eukaryota; Metazoa; Chordata; Aves; Accipitriformes; Accipitridae.
ACUUAGAAAACCAGACUUGGUUUUUUGAUAUUCACAGGAUUGGUUCAUUUUUCUUUUCCUGCUCCUUUUUCCUGAGAAUGUUGCUGUGUAAUUUUAUAUCAGUACUGAAUAAAACCAAAACAUUUGGUUAGUUAGAGAUUUUCUGUUUGUUUGGGGUUUGGGUUUUUUUUGCUUUAAUUUAGAACCUCAGGAUCCAGCGAGCUGUAGGCCGAUCCAGAGAGGGUAAUGCAUUUCCUCUCAGUUUAAAGCUGCAAGUAAGCCUUCUGGAGGAGGACCAAGCAGCAGUGCAGAAAGAUGGUGUCCCGCAGACAGAAAAAGAAGGCUCUUUCACAGGCUAUCAUUACUCUGCUGCAGUCGUGGUUUUCUCCACCAUCAGUGGUCUUGUUACUGUCGAGUCAGAUGGAACCAUCUGUGGCAUCAAGGAUAGUUUUGCUUUAAUGCUCUUCGGCUAUGAGAAGAAAGAACUGUUGGGAAAGACAGCAGCUUCUUGGCUGCAUCUUUAGCAAGCCUUCUGUCAAGAGAUGAAGAGCAGGAAUUGCAACAAAGACACGAAGACGAUAAAUUAAUACAUGAUGAAACUAAACAAAAGAAUGGGACUGGUUUAUUUUCUACUCUCUCACCUCCUGCAGUGGCAUCCACACCCUCUAAUAGCAAAGACAGCAUUGCUACCAAUGACCUGUCAGCCCACCAUAGAGAGCCUUACCCUGAAACCUGGCUUGACAGAAUCAGAGCAGUGG